UACGUAGGGUGCAAGCGUUGUCCGGAAUUAUUGGGCGUAAAGAGCUCGUAGGCGGUUUGUCGCGUCUGCUGUGAAAGCCCGGGGCUCAACCCCGGGUCUGCAGUGGGUACGGGCAGACUGGAGUGCAGUAGGGGAGACUGGAAUUCCUGGUGUAGCGGUGAAAUGCGCAGAUAUCAGGAGGAACACCGAUGGCGAAGGCAGGUCUCUGGGCUGUAACUGACGCUGAGGAGCGAAAGCAUGGGGAGCGAACAGG
RNAcentral lists this ribosomal RNA (253 nucleotides) under uncultured bacterium. RNAcentral's name for it is "partial 16S ribosomal RNA". It matches the Rfam family "Bacterial small subunit ribosomal RNA", at positions 524 to 776 of the family's 1533-position model. The record is from RNAcentral.